ACGGAAGGCAGCAGUGGGGAAUAUUGGGCAAUGGGCGAAAGCCUGACCCAGCGACGCCGCGUGAGGGAAGAAGGUCUUCGGAUUGUAAACCUCUUUCAGCAGGGAAGAAGGAAGUGACGGUACCUGCAGAAGAAGUCACGGCUAACUACGUGCCAGCAGCCGCGGUAAUACGUAGGUGGCGAGCGUUAUCCGGAAUUACUGGGUGUAAAGGGUGUGUAGGCGGGGAGGCAAGUCAGAUGUGAAAACCAAAGGCUCAACCUUUGGCCUGCAUUUGAAACUGUUUUUCUUGAGAGUGGGAGAGGUAAACGGAAUUCCUGGUGUAGUAGUGAAAUGCGUAGAUAUCAGGAGGAACACCGGUGGCGAAGGCGGUUUACUGGACCACAACUGACGCUGAGACACGAAAGCGUGGGGAGCAAACAGGAUUAGAUACCCUGGUA
This 437-nucleotide ribosomal RNA is filed under the name uncultured Oscillospiraceae bacterium. Its description in RNAcentral is "partial 16S ribosomal RNA". It matches the Rfam family "Bacterial small subunit ribosomal RNA", at positions 341 to 792 of the family's 1533-position model. Lineage: Bacteria; Bacillati; Bacillota; Clostridia; Eubacteriales; Oscillospiraceae. The record is from RNAcentral.